This 625-nucleotide ribosomal RNA is filed under the name uncultured bacterium. RNAcentral describes it as "bacterial SSU rRNA". It matches the Rfam family "Bacterial small subunit ribosomal RNA", at positions 880 to 1505 of the family's 1533-position model. The record is from RNAcentral.
GUACGGCCGCAAGGUUAAAACUCAAAUGAAUUGACGGGGGCCCGCACAAGCGGUGGAGCAUGUGGUUUAAUUCGAUGCAACGCGAAGAACCUUACCUGGUCUUGACAUCCACAGAACUUUCCAGAGAUGGAUUGGUGCCUUCGGGAACUGUGAGACAGGUGCUGCAUGGCUGUCGUCAGCUCGUGUUGUGAAAUGUUGGGUUAAGUCCCGCAACGAGCGCAACCCUUAUCCUUUGUUGCCAGCGGUCCGGCCGGGAACUCAAAGGAGACUGCCAGUGAUAAACUGGAGGAAGGUGGGGAUGACGUCAAGUCAUCAUGGCCCUUACGACCAGGGCUACACACGUGCUACAAUGGCGCAUACAAAGAGAAGCGACCUCGCGAGAGCAAGCGGACCUCAUAAAGUGCGUCGUAGUCCGGAUUGGAGUCUGCAACUCGACUCCAUGAAGUCGGAAUCGCUAGUAAUCGUGGAUCAGAAUGCCACGGUGAAUACGUUCCCGGGCCUUGUACACACCGCCCGUCACACCAUGGGAGUGGGUUGCAAAAGAAGCAGNNNNNUUAACCUUCGGGAGGGCGCUUACCACUUUGUGAUUCAUGACUGGGGUGAAGUCGUAACAAGGUAACCGUAA